AUGAACGCUAGCGACAGGCCUAACACAUGCAAGUCGAGGGGCAGCACAAGGAGCAAUCUGAGGUGGCGACCGGCGCACGGGUGAGUAACACGUAUGCAACCUGCCUGUAAGCGGGGAAUAACCCGUUGAAAGACGGACUAAUACCGCACAAUACUAAAUUACUGCAUGGUAAUUUAUUUAAACAUUUAUGGCUUACAGAUGGGCAUGCGCAUGAUUAGCUAGUUGGAGAGGUAACGGCUCCCCAAGGCAACGAUCAUUAGGGGUUCUGAGAGGAAGGUCCCCCACACUGGUACUGAGACACGGACCAGACUCCUACGGGAGGCAGCAGUGAGGAAUAUUGGUCAAUGGACGAGAGUCUGAACCAGCCAAGUCGCGUGCAGGAAGAAUGUCCUAUUGGAUUGUAAACUGCUUUUGCAGGGGAAUAAAGUGCAUCACGUGUGAUGUUUUGUAUGUACUCUGCGAAUAAGGAUCGGCUAACUCCGUGCCAGCAGCUGC
This 495-nucleotide ribosomal RNA is filed under the name uncultured bacterium. RNAcentral describes it as "bacterial SSU rRNA". It matches the Rfam family "Bacterial small subunit ribosomal RNA", at positions 29 to 518 of the family's 1533-position model. The record is from RNAcentral.